Molecule: transfer RNA, 63 nt
Filed under: Rattus norvegicus (Norway rat)
Lineage: Eukaryota; Metazoa; Chordata; Mammalia; Rodentia; Muridae
Rfam family: tRNA
About the family: Transfer RNA (tRNA) molecules are approximately 80 nucleotides in length. Their secondary structure includes four short double-helical elements and three loops (D, anti-codon, and T loops).
Source: Rfam by way of RNAcentral
GGGGAUUUAGCUCAGUGGUAGAGCGCUUGCCUAGCAAGCGCCAGGCCCUGGGUUCAGUCCUCA